CUACGGGGCGCAGCAGUGGGGAAUAUUGCACAAUGGGCGAAAGCCUGAUGCAGCAACGCCGCGUGCGGGAUGAAGGCCCUAGGGUUGUAAACCGCUUUCAGCAGGGAAGAAAAUGACGGUACCUGUAGAAGAAGGUGCGGCCAACUACGUGCCAGCAGCCGCGGUGACACGUAGGCACCAAGCGUUGUCCGGAUUUAUUGGGCGUAAAGAGCUCGUAGGCGGUUCAGUAAGUCGGGUGUGAAAACUCUGGGCUCAACCCAGAGACGCCACCCGAUACUGCUGUGACUAGAGUGCGGUAGGGGAGCGGGGAAUUCCUAGUGUAGCGGUGAAAUGCGCAGAUAUUAGGAGGAACACCAGUGGCGAAGGCGCCGCUCUGGGCCGUAACUGACGCUGAGGAGCGAAAGCGUGGGUAGCAAACAGGAUUAGAUACCCGUGUAGUC
This 440-nucleotide ribosomal RNA is filed under the name uncultured bacterium. RNAcentral describes it as "partial 16S ribosomal RNA". It matches the Rfam family "Bacterial small subunit ribosomal RNA", at positions 339 to 795 of the family's 1533-position model. The record is from RNAcentral.